This 328-nucleotide ribosomal RNA is filed under the name uncultured eukaryote. RNAcentral's name for it is "partial 18S ribosomal RNA". It matches the Rfam family "Eukaryotic small subunit ribosomal RNA", at positions 1470 to 1796 of the family's 1831-position model. The record is from RNAcentral.
CCCUUAGAUGUUCUGGGCUGCACGCGCGCUACACUGAUGCGCUCAACGAGUUUAUAACCUUGUCCGGCAGGAUUGGGUAAUCUUCUUAAAACGCAUCGUGAUGGGGAUAGAUUAUUGAAAUUAUUAAUCUUGAACGAGGAAUUCCUAGUAAACGCAGAUCAUCAAUCUGCAUUGAUUACGUCCCUGCCCUUUGUACACACCGCCCGUCGCACCUACCGAUUGGAUGGUCCGGUGAAGCCUCGGGAUUGUGGUUCUUGCCGCUUUAUUGUAGCGUGACCGCGAGAACUUGUCUAAACCUUAUCAUCUAGAGGAAGGUGAAGUCGUAACA